UGCCGAGUUCUGCGAGCCGGUCAGAGAGUGGGGGAGAGAUUACUCGCUUGGCUCGUCCCCGGCCGCUGCCCCGGGCGGCACAAGAGUGACAUCAUCAAAAUAAACAAGUCCCCCUCAGAUGCAGACUCUAUCAGGUCAUGACCCUACCCGGAUAUGACGUGUAUACCCCUGCCCUACCUGAUGCUGGAAUCAGAAGAUCAUGACUCCUAAAGGACAUGACAUGUUGAACAUAAUCCCAUGGGGAAAAAAGUGACAGUCAACCCUACACUGUGUGAUUACCCAGCCUUCAUCCUAUAUGGAUUUGAACCAAAAUUAAGCCAAGUGAAUAAUUAACAGAACUCUGGGCUACAGUGUAUUUGGGAAGCAAACCCUAUUUAUGUAUUGAUAAAUAAAUAAUAAUACUUUUCUCUCA
Long non-coding RNA from Pantherophis guttatus, 412 nucleotides. RefSeq lists it as uncharacterized. Lineage: Eukaryota; Metazoa; Chordata; Lepidosauria; Squamata; Colubridae. The record is from RefSeq and is a predicted model, not a curated record.